Molecule: long non-coding RNA, 609 nt
Organism: Chionomys nivalis (European snow vole)
Lineage: Eukaryota; Metazoa; Chordata; Mammalia; Rodentia; Cricetidae
Exons: 4
Source: RefSeq, a predicted model, not a curated record
UUCACCCAGGCAAACCCCACUCCUGUCUCUGAAGCUCUGUGGAAGUUCAUGGCAAUUCUUGACUAAAAUGUCCCUUCUCCAUAGAUGGGCAGCUCCCAUCCUGCCACCGGCUCUGAACUUUGUUCAUCCCAGAGCGAUAACCCUUCCUUUGGCUCUUUCUUGUGUGGCUUUUCCCCUGCACACUUUCCAGGACCACAUGAGUUCUCAUGAGAAAACAGAAGUCAACCCCCAACUUUGACAGGUGAAGCCCUCUGGGAGGCUGGCUGGUGUAGGAGCCAGGACAACACUGAGAUGUCCUUCCAAACCAAGACCCGAACAGCUGAGGAGCUCCCGUUACCCACGAAGUGGAACUGAAAGUCACUGGCCUAGAUGGUGUCUGAGGAUUCUCACAGGUGGAAGAUGGUCUGACCUGUUCACAGAGACUAUAAACAAGACUCGGUGACAGUGGAGGGGUGACCUUUUCAAGUGCAGUCAGAACAAGACUGAUAUUUGCCUGUUGGUCAGGUCAGCCUCAUCACUGGUCUGAAAGCUUCCUGGGAGCAAAGAUUACGUUUUGCCACCUCCUCCCAUGCCAUUGGUAUAGACUAUGGACCACAUAUCACAUAGGAG